Molecule: long non-coding RNA, 209 nt
Filed under: Carica papaya (papaya)
Lineage: Eukaryota; Viridiplantae; Streptophyta; Magnoliopsida; Brassicales; Caricaceae
Description: long non-coding RNA (CPAP_LNC010432)
Source: RNAcentral
UCAUGUCUAUUUAAUGCAUCUUUUGUUAUUCUUAAAUCUGAUGCGGUCCCCUCCCACCCAACUAGAAUGUAUAAAAAUUUCAAAUCAAAUGUACAAGCUAUCAAUACAUGGGAAAUUUUUUCUCUCGCGAAACCUUAGAACAUUUUUUUAGACAUUUUCACACAUAUACGUGUUCCAUCAAUCGCACCAACACAAUCUUGAAAUUAAUU